RNAcentral lists this long non-coding RNA (1263 nucleotides) under Betta splendens (Siamese fighting fish). RNAcentral's name for it is "lncRNA (ENSBSLG00000011746.1)". The record is from RNAcentral. Lineage: Eukaryota; Metazoa; Chordata; Actinopteri; Anabantiformes; Osphronemidae.
AUGCCACAGCAACGUCAGCCCCAAGUAUUGGCUGAGGUGGAGUCAACUUUAGCAGCAGUGAUGCAGCAUCAUAAUGCACAAUACUGCGCCCUACAGAACCUCGCAGCGCAGAUGAAGGCACUCCCUAAAGUUGUGGGCUGUGAGCUGCCACCUACUCGGGAUUUGCUGGUUAUAGACGGACAUGGAUCUACUCUGCAGCUUGCAUUAUUACACGCCAAGUGUGUGUUUCACUGUUUGAUAAAGGGAAGGGAACAAACUCAAUACUUGGUGGAGAAAACGUUGGCUGCAAUACAUCUGAAUCUGAACUGUGAUAAAGAAAAAUAACGUGACAGCGGAUGAAGUUUGUUCCCGAGAACAGGAAAAAAAAAACAGUUGUGAUUCUGAUGUUGGUAAUAACAUGAGAUGUAUUCAUUAGGUAAUACUACAGAAAAUGUCUUAUUACCAAUAUGUUUCUUCAUAGUGUGAAUUUGAGGUUUGACUUGGAGUUUUGACAUGCUGCAUUUUUCACGCAGUCACUUUGGUUUUGACAUUAAUUUUGUCGAUUUGAUUCUGCUUCAAACAAAAGCUCUAAGAUUUGACCAAGAAUGGGUUUAGGUUUAUUGAAGACAUUUACACAGACACGUCUACUGAAGAAGAGGCAUAACUGUACUGUGGCUAAAUGUACAAUAGUACCAGUAGUUCCACUCCUCUAUUGUAGCUUUGACUUGUCUGUAGUUACAUUUCAAGUUUUCAUACAACAUUUGUUCUUCUUUAAAUGUUCUUUGUUUUUCUGGAAGUCCUGAUGAGAUUUGUACAAGCAGACUUGAAGCUACAGUACAACGUCUUAAUUUACGGAAGCCAACUGUGCGGCUCUUCUACUACUUUGUUAUUGAGUGUGCUCGCUUUCUCCGUCACCUCCCGGUUUAAUUCCAUUAGCCUGCAAAGAAAGAAAUCUGUCGGGACCCCUCACAUCCUAAGUCCCAUGUUCCAGUGGCUCCCAUCAGGACACAGACUCCCUGAUGCAGGACCCAAAUAGGAGAAAUCCUGUAAUCCCAGCAGUAGUUAUCCAUCAGAAUGCUGUCCUGUACAAUGACGCUUUUAAUUGAUCUUAUUAGUAAUAUUAAUUUUCCUGGAUGCUUGCUUUACCUUAAUGGCCUUCAGGGAUAAAUAAUAGAGAUAAAGUGUUUUGAAUUGAAUUGAUCAAUACAUUAUAAAUACCUGAAAUACUUAUGUACAUAUUAUUCAAAGAAAUAAAUUAAAAACAAAUCUAUGUUGUGAAGUUCA